GUGCUUGCUUCAGGAACACGUAUACUAAAAUUGAAAUGAUACAGAAAAGAUUAGCAUGGCCCCUGCACAAGGAUGACACACAAAUUUGUGAAGCGUUCUAUAUUUUU
This is a small nuclear RNA of Hyaena hyaena (striped hyena), 107 nucleotides long. NCBI's taxonomy places the organism in Eukaryota, Metazoa, Chordata, Mammalia, Carnivora, Hyaenidae. The record is from RefSeq and is a predicted model, not a curated record.